Molecule: unclassified non-coding RNA, 346 nt
Filed under: rhizosphere metagenome
Description: partial ribosomal RNA internal transcribed spacer region
Source: RNAcentral
GUAGGUGAACCUGCGGAAGGAUCAUUAUCACGUUAUCCACGUAUAAACCAUUGUGAACUGUUCUUUAGGAGUUAGGGUUUGUCGAGUCAUCCUUUUUUGGAUGAGGAAACAAAUUUCACAGUUUCCAGACUUCGGUCGGAACUCUGUGCAGUCCGAAUAUGGAGAGAAAAAAUUUCUGACAAAAAGGAAACUGUGAAACUCUUCAAAUCUCACUGUCUAACUCCUGAUCCUAUUAACCAUUUUAACCAAUCUUUAUAAUUUUUGAACCAACUUAUUUCUUACUCUGCGGAGAAGAAAUUCAUUACGAAACAAAGAACAACUCUUAGCAACGGAUAUCUUGGUUCUC